UCAUUACAAGCCAAGAAGUGAAAAACAAUGUUAUCACCCUAUUCAAACAGUUGAAAGAGUAUUGUUUGGAGUUGUGUGGGGUUGAAUAAUUGUGUUUGUAAUAUUUCAGAAGUUGGAAGAAAAAGAAAAGAAAAAGAGAAAGAGAAAAUAGAAAAAAAAAUAGAAGGAUUUCAAUACAUGUCAAUACAUACUCCUUCCGAAAAAGAAAAAAA
This 212-nucleotide long non-coding RNA is filed under the name Lathyrus oleraceus (garden pea). RNAcentral describes it as "Pisum sativum (pea) long non-coding RNA (PSAT_LNC039980)". The record is from RNAcentral. Lineage: Eukaryota; Viridiplantae; Streptophyta; Magnoliopsida; Fabales; Fabaceae.